UGGGGAAUAUUGCACAAUGGGCGCAAGCCUGAUGCAGCCAUGCCGCGUGUAUGAAGAAGGCCUUCGGGUUGUAAAGUACUUUCAGUCGGGAGGAAUGUGGUAAGGUUAAUAACCUUAUCAAUUGACGUUACCGACAGAAGAAGCACCGGCUAACUCCGUGCCAGCAGCCGCGGUAAUACGGAGGGUGCAAGCGUUAAUCGGAAUUACUGGGCGUAAAGCGCACGCAGGCGGUCUGUCAAGUCGGAUGUGAAAUCCCCGGGCUCAACCUGGGAACUGCAUUCGAAACAGGCAGGCUAGGGUCUUGUAGAGGGGGGUAGAAUUCCAGGUGUAGCGGUGAAAUGCGUAGAGAGCUGAAGGAAUACCGGUGGCGAAGGCGGCCCCCUGGACAAAGACUGACGCUCAGGUGCGAAAGCGUGGGGAGCAAACAGG
RNAcentral lists this ribosomal RNA (429 nucleotides) under Chloroflexota bacterium. RNAcentral's name for it is "Chloroflexi bacterium partial 16S ribosomal RNA". It matches the Rfam family "Bacterial small subunit ribosomal RNA", at positions 355 to 776 of the family's 1533-position model. Lineage: Bacteria; Bacillati; Chloroflexota. The record is from RNAcentral.